This 147-nucleotide ribosomal RNA is filed under the name uncultured bacterium. RNAcentral's name for it is "partial 16S ribosomal RNA". It matches the Rfam family "Bacterial small subunit ribosomal RNA", at positions 355 to 494 of the family's 1533-position model. The record is from RNAcentral.
UAGGGAAUAUUGGACAAUGGGCGCAAGCCUGAUCCAGCCAUGCCGCGUGAGUGAAGAAGGCCCUCGGGUUGUAAAGCUCUUUUGUCCGGAAAGAAAAGCGCCGGGUUAAUACCCUGGUGUCCUGACGGUACCGGAAGAAUAGGCACC